AUAUAUUCUAAUCUCCAUUGCUUAAUCAAAUUGAGUUAAUUAAUAAUUAUAUUACUAAUUAAUUAUUUUUAAUUUAUCAAGUAUUAGUAAAUAAUUUAUUACAAUCUUUGCAUAGGAUUAAUCAUCAAUCAAAUUGAUAAUUAAAUCCUUCAAUGAUUCAUAAUCAUCGAUCAGCCAUUUCAUCAGACAGGUACUUCUAUAUGUAUGACCCCAUAGGUUCGAACCU
Molecule: long non-coding RNA, 226 nt
Filed under: Elaeis guineensis (African oil palm)
Lineage: Eukaryota; Viridiplantae; Streptophyta; Magnoliopsida; Arecales; Arecaceae
Description: long non-coding RNA (EGUI_LNC055174)
Source: RNAcentral